GAUGAACGCUGGCGGCGUGCCUAAUACAUGCAAGUCGAGCGAACAGACGCGGCGCUUGCUCCUCGGACGUUAGCGGCGGACGGGUGAGUAACACGUGGAUACCCUACCUGUAAGACUGGGAUAACUUCGGGAAACCGGAGCUAAUACCGGAGAAUAUAUUGAACCGCAUGGUGGAAUAGUGAAAGACGGUGGUGCUGUCACUUAUCGAUGGAUCCGCGCCGCAUGAGCUAGUUGGUGCGUUAACGGGUUACCAAGGCAACGAUGCGUAGCCGACGGGAGGGGGGGGUAGGCGACCUGGGAGGGUAGCCGGGGACAAUAGUCCUACGGGACGCAGCAGUAGGGAACGGGCCGCAGCGGUCGGAAGCCUGACGGAGUAACGCCGAGCGAGUGACGACGGUGCCCGGAGCGUAAAAACCUCUUACUAGUUAAGAACAACUGUGGAAGUAGACGUGGCGGUCGUGACGGUACCUAAUAAGAAAGCAACGGCUAACUACGUG
RNAcentral lists this ribosomal RNA (497 nucleotides) under uncultured bacterium. Its description in RNAcentral is "partial 16S ribosomal RNA". It matches the Rfam family "Bacterial small subunit ribosomal RNA", at positions 28 to 507 of the family's 1533-position model. The record is from RNAcentral.